CUCUUUUAUACUUGUAUAACACUUCUAUCUUUAUGAAAGUACAUGAACUGAAGCUUGUACAACUUAGAUCAGUAAGGUGAUAAUUUGUGCCUCAUUUUAUCUUUUAUUUCUUGAUUACUUAGAGUGUGCAAGACACUCUAAGGGGUAGUCUAAGUUAAGGUCUGACUGUCGACGAGAGUUUGCAUUCUGCCGCUUUCGAAAGUCUGCAAUCAUGUGAGCCGGCUUCUUGCAAUAGUGGCAAAAUGAUCUUGGACAUGUUUCGUUGGCCUGAUGCACCAGUAGAGCUUCCAAAUUAAAGAUUCUAACCAUAGGUUCGAUGUCCCGAAGCAUGUUCAGCUAGUCCCAUAGAACAUUUGCAUCUUCGGGCUCAAGUGGAGGUGGAGCCUCAGCAGAAGGUGUGAUCUAUCACGACCCAAUUUUUCAAGCCAUGAUCGGCGCAUGAGCUCAAUGAGCAUAGCUCACUAAGCCCAAGCAAGCCUAUCAAUUUACCUUUGCUUAAC
This 500-nucleotide long non-coding RNA is filed under the name Theobroma cacao (cacao). Its description in RNAcentral is "long non-coding RNA (TCAC_LNC006374)". The record is from RNAcentral. Lineage: Eukaryota; Viridiplantae; Streptophyta; Magnoliopsida; Malvales; Malvaceae.